GGAUUUUUGAGGGAUGUGGUCUUUUGUUCUUUAGUGUCGCUGGACCACAAAUUGUUAUGAGAACUUUCUAGCUUACUGCUGUUUCAGGGCAGUCUCUCUAUGUCGGAGUCACAUGUCAUCUUAUUGAUUAACGUUCGGGUCAAACUUUCGACAUGAUGGUUGCUUGGGAAUCCUUCUGAUGCAAGCCGCUCAUUGCUCAAUGUAAGCCUCUUUGGAUUUCUGCGUUUGCAAUCUGGUGAGUAAAUAUCAGAUAUGAUCGUGUUGACUUCUUCAUCAGCUGGUGCUCCGCCUCAUUUCUUUGUUAGUGACAAGUUUCGAAUGGACUAGAAAGGUAAGUAAACACUUUCAUUUCUUCAGGUAAAAUUUAACUGAAAUAUGAAUCUUCGAAAAUCCUUGAAUACUUUCUAGAACAAAAAAAAAAACUAAACACAUUGUGCUGACAGUUUCUGGUUCAGGAACUCAAAAGAGGUGAAAACAUUACAAAAAACUUCCUGGGUAUUUCGACCACUGGCAUCAUGCCUCUUCACAUCAGAGGUGAGGUCGAGGCUAUCCGCAUCCUUUAUGUCCCACCAGUCAUACCAAUGCGGAAGGAUGACAUGGUUAAUCAGAAUACAAAGAACAUAAGGCUCUAUGUACGAGUUUUCAUUCGAUGAUUGUGAUGGGGAGUUGGUGAGAGAAGCGUUUCUUGGUGUGGCCUUUCAAGAAAUCUAUAUUUCUAUUUUGUCUUCUAUCUGCUUUUGUGGUGUUUUGGUGCUUCGGAAACUGUUUCCUUGCACACGAUCUUUCACUGAGCUGUGUCAUGAGAUUUUCAAGAAAGAUGUAUCCCAUACAUCAGAAUGAGGCUUUGUUCACAAAACCCCAAGUCAAGUUGAAGAGUCAAGACAAACUAAGUGUUCUGUCCUCUUUCUCUGCUCAGCUCAACGGUAAGAAUAGAGGAGGUGACAGUCAGUCAAGGUACGGCAAAGCUGAAGAAUCAAAUCGAGCUGCAUAAUAGAUUUGGGGCUCUUGGAUCUCGAACUGUGACGUGUCGUUAGUACACGAGCUAUGUGCUUUAGGGUUUCUGUAAUCUUCUAUAUUGGCAACUCUCUGUAAAUGCUAAGCUAAAAGAUACUCAAAGUUUUUACAAA
Molecule: long non-coding RNA, 1127 nt
Organism: Raphanus sativus (radish)
Lineage: Eukaryota; Viridiplantae; Streptophyta; Magnoliopsida; Brassicales; Brassicaceae
Exons: 2
Source: RefSeq, a predicted model, not a curated record